This 252-nucleotide ribosomal RNA is filed under the name uncultured bacterium. RNAcentral describes it as "partial 16S ribosomal RNA". It matches the Rfam family "Bacterial small subunit ribosomal RNA", at positions 524 to 776 of the family's 1533-position model. The record is from RNAcentral.
UACGGAGGAUGCGAGCGUUAUCCGGAUUUAUUGGGUUUAAAGGGUGCGUAGGCGGACGCUUAAGUCAGCGGUAAAAUUGCGGGGCUCAACCUCGUCGAGCCGUUGAAACUGGGUGCCUUGAGUGGGCGAGAAGUACGCGGAAUGCGUGGUGUAGCGGUGAAAUGCAUAGAUAUCACGCAGAACACCGAUUGCGAAGGCAUCUCACGAAUCCGCGAUUGACGCUGAUGCACGAAAGCGUGGGUAUCAAACAGG